Molecule: ribosomal RNA, 494 nt
Filed under: uncultured bacterium
Lineage: Bacteria
Description: partial 16S ribosomal RNA
Rfam family: Bacterial small subunit ribosomal RNA
Source: RNAcentral
GACGAACGCUGGCGGCGUGCCUAAUACAUGCCAGUAGAACGCUGAAGGAGGAGCUUGCUUCUCUGGAUGAGUUGCGAACGGGUGAGUAACGCGUAGGUAACCUGCCUGGUAGCGGGGGAUAACUAUUGGAAACGAUAGCUAAUACCGCAUAAGAGUAGAUGUUGCAUGACAUUUGCUUAAAAGGUGCAAUUGCAUCACUACCAGAUGGACCUGCGUUGUAUUAGCUAGUUGGUGGGGUAACGGCUCACCAAGGCGACGAUACAUAGCCGACCUGAGAGGGGGAUCGCCAAAACGGGAAUGAGAACAGGCCCAGGACUCCAAGGGAGGCAGCAGGAGGGAAACGUCGGGAAAGGACGGAAGGCCGACCGAGCAAAGCCGCGUGAGGGAAGAAGGGUUUCGGAUCGUAAAGGUCUGGUGGAAGAGAAGAAAGAGGGGGGGAGGGGAAAGUUCACACUGUGACGGUAUCUUACCAGAAAGGGACGGCUAACUACGUG